RNAcentral lists this ribosomal RNA (274 nucleotides) under uncultured bacterium. RNAcentral's name for it is "partial 16S ribosomal RNA". It matches the Rfam family "Bacterial small subunit ribosomal RNA", at positions 523 to 796 of the family's 1533-position model. The record is from RNAcentral.
CUACGGAGGGGGCUAGCGUUAUUCGGAAUUACUGGGCGUAAAGCGCACGUAGGCGGCGUAUCAAGUUAGAGGUGAAAGCCCAGGGCUCAACCCUGGAAUUGCCUUUAAGACUGAUAUGCUUGAGGUCGGAAGAGGGUAGUGGAAUUCCAAGUGUAGAGGUGAAAUUCGUAGAUAUUUGGAAGAACGCCAGUGGCGAAGGCGGCUACCUGGUCCGAUACUGACGCUGAGGUGCGAAAGCGUGGGGAGCAAACAGGAUUAGAAACCCUAGUAGUCC